GACGAACGCUGGCGGCGUGCUUAACACAUGCAAGUCGAACGAUGAAGCCGGAGCUUGCUCCGGUGGAUUAGUGGCGAACGGGUGAGUAACACGUUAGCAAUCUGCCCUUGACUCUGGGAUAACUGCGGGAAACUGUAGCUACUACCGGAUACGACACCUUGGGGCAUCCCAGGGUGUGGAGAGAAUUUCGGUCAAGGAUGAGCCCGCUGCCUAUCAGCUGUUUGCCGAGGUAAUGGCUCACCAAGGCGACGACGGGUAGCCGGCCUGAGAGGGUGACCGGCCACACUGGAACUGAGACACGGUCCAGACUCCUACGGGAGGCAGCAGUGGGGAAUAUUGCACAAUGGGCGAAAGCCUGAUGCAGCAACGCCGCGUGAGGGAUGAAGGCCUUCGGGUUGUAAACCUCUUUUAGCAGGGAAGAAGCGAAAGUGACGGUACCUGCAGAAAAAGCACCGGCUAACUACGUGCCAGCCGCCGCGGUAA
This 483-nucleotide ribosomal RNA is filed under the name uncultured bacterium. RNAcentral's name for it is "partial 16S ribosomal RNA". It matches the Rfam family "Bacterial small subunit ribosomal RNA", at positions 28 to 523 of the family's 1533-position model. The record is from RNAcentral.